CAGGAAGCAGAGCCUGGGGCGUCUCCACCAUGGCCUGGGCUCCACUCCUCCUCACCCUCCUCGCUCACUGCACAGGGUCUUGGGCUGAGGUUGUGUUCACUCAGCCCCACUCUGUGUCGGGGUCUCCGGGGCAGACCGUCACCAUCUCCUGCACCCGCAGCAGUGGCAGCAUUGCCAGCAGAUAUGUGCACUGGUACCAGCAGCGCCCGGGCAGUGCCCCCACCACUGUGAUCUACGAUGAUGUCCCAAGACCCUCUGGGGUCCCUGAUUGGUUCUCUGGCUCCAUUGACAGCUCCUCCAACUCUGCCUCCCUCACCAUCUCUGGGCUGAAGUCUGAGGAUGAGGCUGAUUACUACUGUCAGUCUGCUGAUGACAGCUACAAUCCCACAGUACUCCAGACCCAUGGGGAAAACAGUCCUUCUGGCUUCGCCAUCUCCUCCCCGAGCGCCAUCAUCUAG
This is a non-coding RNA of Nomascus leucogenys (northern white-cheeked gibbon), 458 nucleotides long. Lineage: Eukaryota; Metazoa; Chordata; Mammalia; Primates; Hylobatidae. The record is from the annotation of a RefSeq genome assembly.